CUACUUCCAAGGGCAUGCAGUAAAUUCAGUUUGGAAAGCUGCAUUACUCAUCCACUGAGAAGAUCAUGGAGAAGUCUAUGCAACUCUGGUUACACCACUUCUUCUCCACAAGAUAGAGUCAUUGCUUGGUUACAUCUAACAUUUACUGUGUAAGAUAAAAUAGCCUACAGAAGAAAUUACUAAAGAGGCUGGAGACAAAAAUAUGCCACUAAUGUGAGAUGAGCCAAUCCACCAUCUAUCCUAAGCUACUGAGUGACUUAACAUGGAUCCUGGUUCUUCAUCAUCUAAGUGGGCCAACAUAAAGCAUCAGCAAGACCACCACUGGCCACUGUAUUUCAAAGUUUCCAUGGAAAUAAAUCGGAGGCAUUACUUUUGGAGCAACUAUGCGGCCCAAGAUAAUUUGUCUUGACUCAGUGUGAUCCAGGCAAGCCAAAAGGUUGCACACCCAUGAAAUAAGCCAAGAAAGUACAUGGACUGCAAGAAAAUUCUUUUUGGUCUACUGACAUCCCUGUUUAAUUAAUAAGUGCUGUCACACAUUCAGCAAGCACGCAUAUCGCUCUUGGUCUUGGUAAGAGCCACUCUCUUUUCCAGUGCUGUGAGUCACUCAGUCUUCACAAGGUUUUGUCCUCUUCACCAGUCACAAAAAAAUAUUUGUUUGGAAUUUGGUAAACUGAAGUGGAAGUGUCCUCGCUGCUGAGAAUUUACACUGGGACCAGAAUGAUGCCUGCUCUUCCCUCACACAAGGAUGCAGAGCCUAUCGAAGGAAGGGAAUUACGAAAUGACAAGGAUCAUAUGAGCCACUUGGUGCAGUACACACAGAGCAGCUAAAAUAACCAGAAGCAGAGAAGUCAGUGAACAAGGGGUGAUGCCAUCUGUGAUACACAAAGUUAUAAAAGAGUAAGCUGACAUUAUAAAGUGGCUGGAGAAGCUGUGUACUUCCUACAGCAGUAGAGGAGCAUGAAGUGCAAUCCUCCAUCAUUUUUGAGGAGAGAAACUCCGUCUGCAAGCUGUGAAAGCAAACUGGUCGUGUGAUUGCUGUCUGAAGGAGUAUCCUUUGAUACCUAUUGAUUCAAUUGAUUUCAUUUUGUGGAAUGGGUUGGAAAGGGCUGAUCUUUGUCUUCUGUCACAAGGACUGGGAAUUAAAUCAUUCUGUCGCCUUGGGCUCUGAUCAUGUUAAUUCCACAGCCAACAGGCAAACAUGGGCAUGGUGCCUGGCACAGUGGUGAUCUGUACUGUCAUUCAGAAGAUGAAACUGUGCGACAUUCACUAGGAGCCAACUGAAAAGUCACCGGAGGCACCCUGUGGCCUUUUCUUUUGAUGCAUAAACAGAUUUUACUGGAAGAGGGGAGAGUUGCCCAUUGCACCAGAUCAACUCUGCUUUUUCACAUCACUGCUUGGUUGCUGAUGUUGGUCCCUGGCACAGGGCUCUCCAAUUUUCAUCAGACUACUAAGAAUCCCCUCAGUAUUUCAGUGAGAGCAUUUAGGAUACUAAGAUAUAUCUGGUUUGCUUUGGGGUUUUUAUUGUUGUUGCUGAUUUUUUCCAAUCUGUGGAAGGAACUGUCACUAGGAAACCACUGUGGUACGGGAACUAUAUGAAUUCUGCAGUCUUCUUCAUAUCUCUUUAUCAAGUGAUAGAUACAGCCUGUCCACUCCAUUCUUUCCCUUUUUCCUAUUCUGUGACAGCAAAUAAAGACACCAGCUAAAGCCGGUUGUGGAGAUUAGGGCUGUUUUCAGCUCACCUUCUUAGCAAAACAAGGCUUACAUGCUUACUCUGCAUGUAAUCUUAAUGUCUUAUGAACACUUCUAGCCAAUCUCUCCCAAACAUAUCAGAAAAGCUGAGUUGCCAGUACACUUACUUCCUACAUUUUCUUCCAGUUCAGUCAAAAGGAGCAGCCCAAAAAAUCAUCAGCAGCAUUUUUCUGCUGUAAGUGGGAAAGGUAGAAAAACAGCAGGAGAACUUUAUAUUUGCACAAGGAGAUAAUAUAAAUCUCACUUUCAAUCACUUAGUAUCCAUUCACUGAGAGAUGCACAUCCACAAGAAAGGAGGUGCGCAGCAACCCACGUUUUCUUAUGUGAAUACUUGUCAACUAGUAGACAAAUCAAACAAGUCAGUUGGUUCUUUGCAGGCUUACACUUGUGGCAUUGAACUUAAAUCAUUCCUAUUUCUGAAUUCUGGUCCUGAGUUUAGGUAAUGAUUUCUUUCUCAGUAGUGACUUUCUGUACUGGUUGAAACAUAAACUACUUAAAUGACUGUACUCAAUACUUAUUUAUUGUCUCUUGCAGAAUUAUCUUUCCCAAACCUUUCUUGAACUAUAAUGUUAAUCUGGGGAGCUCUGGAUGUAGUCCAUCCUGGAUGUCUGCUCCAGAUAAUACAAAAAAAACCCCGAAUUUUUCAUAAUUCUUUUUAUACAUGCAUGUUGGUUUCUCAGGUAUGUGAUUUAUGGACUCUUUCAGCAUCACUUUCUGCUUUUGAGAAGAUACAGAAAAAAUAGCAGCCCUAAUGCAAGAGGAAGAUGUGAGGAAAAUCAAAAAGCUUUGUGUUCCCAGAGUAGUAAAAAAAUAUCUCAAAAUGUUUUUCUUAAGAAAACAGUUUCUGGCAUGACCAGGAUGUUUUCAACUCAACUUUCUUCUACCUUGUUUAUACAGGUUUGAGCUCCCUCUGAAGGAUCAGCCAUUUCAUUUAGCUGCUGUGUACUUAUUGCUGGAAUAUACCUGGGAUGGUUUGAGUGACAGUCUUCAUUUCUGGUUCGACUCGGAUCACACAGCAAAACAUUUUACGGAGUCAUAACAUCAAGUCCCAGAAACAAUAAGGAAGUCCCAUCUAUAGGAGACAACCUCAGAGAAGUAUUUUAUACAGUUAAAGUACAGAAGCAAGUGUACACUGGGAAAGAUUGUCAAGCCAGACAUAGUCAAGUGAGAAGUAAAGGGUGAUAUCUGCUUAAGCUUUGAAGUUAAUUAAUCACAUAAUGAACUGCUUAGAGAAAUGGUGACCUCCUUACAUCUUGAGGUCUACAAAUCAAAUUAUGAGGCUGAUACUGACUUAUUGAGCAAUGCUAAGACCUCUGGCAUAUCUCUGAUUGGGAAGACUUGGCUAGUACACCCUUCUGGCCAUAAAUAUGGACUGCAUACAGCUCUUUUCAGUCUGAGUUCCCAGCAUCGAUUUGCUGGUGUUUCACAGGCUGACCCCUCAGCCUCUAUGCAUUCCAAAGAUCUUUGGGUCAAGGAGAGGAGGGCAGGCAGCACGCCAGAGCACGAUGCUUCAUGGCAAAGGCUGCACAAUGUGUAUGGCAUUGAUUUCUAGAUGUCAUCUCAUGAAGAAUUUGAUCUUUAAGUUGCACAAAGCGCUUGAAUGCUUUGAGGCAACCAGUAGAGCUGGCAGAGGAAUGCUCUUUUCUGUGGGGCUAUCGUCAAACUUUUGAAACACCAAGAAUUGUUUGAAUUAAAGUGAGGGAAAACUGAGUAUCCUUUACUUGCUCCUGAAAACUCUAUCUGCUCUGGAUAUAUUUUGUGGGAAAAUAAGAUAUUUCUCAUGAAAAUUCAUUCUAAGUCCAUACUAGAAGAACUAUGAGCAUAAUCUUUCAAUUAUCCUAUGAAAGUAGUGAUUUAUUUUAGAAAUAUAGCAAAAUAAGACAUUGCUUUCUCACCAUAUGUGCAUGUGUGUGUAUAAAGGAAGGAAUGCGUAUAUAUUUUAUAUGCAAGUUAUGUAUUCACGUCCAAAACACACGCUCUGUGAGGCUGUGUAGACUUUUUCUGUCUUCCUUUAAGAUUCCCAAGGCUAUAGGAUGUGUUCAGCAGGUGCAAAAACUACUCAGCCGGAGAAACUCAGCUCUAUCACUGUGCACUUUAGAGUAGCUCAGCCUUUUAGUAGCAAUGUUAAAGGCUGUACAGACAGCUACAUUGUAAUUGCUUCUGUUGAGAGUGAGAGAGCAUUAUUUCAUCUGGAAGCUUUUGGUUUAUGGCUACACUCGCACGCACUAAAUCAUCCGUUUGCCUGGUGAUGAGCUACAGCAAGCAGCAGGAGCCUUCAGAUAGCAGGGAGCUCAUGUAAGGUUGUAUUUGGCACCAUCCAAUGGCACGCAGUCCUGUGGGUCUUUAUUCAUUUCAAUUGUGAAUGCCAUGGCAAGAUAAAUUCAGCUUCGUUUGUUCCUGCGAUGGGAAUGGUUUCUCGCCAUGCUGUUACAUACCCUCGUGGAGCCUCACGUGUGUUCAGAAAGGCAACAGAUACUACAGCAGUUUCACAAUUCGCCUUCUGAAAAUGUCCCGUACUCAGAAUGAAAAACACCACCACAAGCAUGGAAAGAACUGGAAACUAAAAUUCCUUUUUUUUUUUUUCAUGGCACAACCAUUUGCAUCUGUAUAUUUUGACUGACAAAUGACCGGUCAGUUUGGAUAAAGCCCAGAGAUCAGAACUAAUAAAUGUAUUGGCAAGAACAUCCAUGGAAACUAGUUUAUUUAAGACAGUAUUGAAAAACAUUUGCCAAGUGGGAAUUUUAAAUAUAUCGUCCUCAGAUGCAUGCACUGGGAAAUCUGGAAGCCAUUCAACCACAUAAUGAGCAGAUACAUAUUGUAUCAUUUAAGUGAACAGUCAUAGCAAUGAAACUUUGAUUGCUUGGUAUUCUCAAAGUGGUUACAAAGCGAUCUACUAAGCAGAAGUGAUUCACAAGAACAAAUCUAAGAAAACAGCACCCUGAUCCUAAGGAUGAGAAGAAGAAAAAAAAAAAACAAAAGAAAAAAAAAAACAGAAAAAGGAAUUGUUGUGAGAAAUGCAGAUGAAUGUUGCUUAAGAGACAGCAACGAAUGCAGCAAAGUCAGAGCAAGCUGCCAGGCUGUGCCUGACGCUCAAAACCUCACAGUCUCAAAGUGGGCCUGGGUCUGCUCUGGAGGGUUCAGGGCAAACCUGAAGAUGGCCAUCACUGGUGGCUGCUUCCUCAGCUGAGCGUGGCUCCUGGCCCUCAGAAAUGGCUGUAGCACCAAGCACAGCCCCAGGGAAAGAUGGACAGGGAGUGAACACAGGCUGCAAAGUGUAGAAAGUGUAAAAUUAUUUCUUGGUGUCUCAGAGACUUCUUGUUCUUUUAUUUUUAUCUUUGUUCCUGCUAGCUCUGACCCUAACUCGCCUUCUUGUCUGGAAAGAAUUAGCAGAGCUUUUUUCCUCCAGCUCUUCUCUACUGCAUAGAAGCAAUUCUGGGCCCUGACAAAAGUCAUGGCUUCAUUUUCUUUAAUUUCUUCCCUGUCUUUUCCUGAAUUAUCUGUAGAUGCUAGUAUCCAAAAAGAUGUGUUCUCAGCAAGGAGUUCUACAGCGCAUCGCACCAUUGAUCCAUACCUGCCAGCUCUCCUCCAAUUUUCGGCUUCUCUUCCCCAGCCUUCUUAGGGAGUCAAAGUGGGCAAAUGGCUGCUGCUCAUCUUGCUGCAACCACAGUCAUCGUACAGACCCAGUGGGGGGAUACAGCAAAUCUGUUCUGAUUAGCGAAGGUAAGCAGGGACUCUGCCGUGCUUGUACCCUACAGUGAGAAGAUCAGCAAGGUCAAGUUAUAUCCGAGAAAUCAACCAACCAUUUUUGGAGUGCCGGCCAAAAUCCUUAUGUGACCUGACAACGACUGGGGAGCAUCAAAACCUCACUGCUUUUCUCUCUGUGUGUGAGGGAUAUUGGUUCAGACCUGCCUUUCCCAAUACAAACAUAGUUCUUUGUGCAUAUUAUAAAAACACACAGAAAGAAGUGCUUUGCUGCCCAUUUGUCCCAUGCUGGGAAGGAACAAAUUGAACAAACAAAUGGCAUAUGUUAGUCACAGUGCUUCAUACACUGCUGGAAUGUGUUCAGAUACUCUGGUGCCUUCUAUUAAGAUCAUGGUAAAUUAAAUAUAAAUGGUUUUUAAGGACUAAACUGUGACAUCUGAAAUGAAGUUUGAAUUACAUGAAGCCAGACAAUGUGAUAUCCAUUAGAAAAAGUGUUUACUAGCCUUCAUGAAGUACACAUGUGUUGUGAAAACACUCAUCUGGCUAAAUCAAAAAUGACUGAAUAAGGUAAUUCUGACUUUUUUUGUAGUGCUAUUCGUAUUAUUUGAGUAGCCAUGACUGUAAAGUUGUCUUUUUUUUACAGAUACUGUGCAUCCUCCUCUUGCACAAAGGGCAGAUGUAAUCAUUUUAAGUGGCAUCACUGAAGCUGGGCAGACAAAUGACAGCUGAUAGGAUUGAGUGGAAGUGUCAGAUUGGUCAAAAUCUGCAAACAUUUUUGUGAGAAAAAAUGUUCACUAUUUCAAAAUUCUUUUCUUUUUGGAAGCUUUGCACCUAUUUCGCUUUUAAGAUUAAUUUUCCAUUGCUCCUGCUCUCAAUAUUUUCCCUGAAUAUUUUACACAAUGGUUAAAGGGCAUUCUUCAAGGAUAUCGACAGCAUCAUCCAUCCUUUCAUUUCCAAAUUCUCUGACAGGCAUUAUGGCACUUUGCAAAUCCGUCAAUCCUUUUAGGGGGAUUAGGAACAGGACCAGAGUUUUUACAGUCGAUUUCCUCUCAAUUCCCAGUAGUUUAACGGUUGUAAUCCUUUCUCAAACCAGAAGGUGGCAAGCACUCGUAAAGUAUGAGCUGCACCAAGACAAGAACGUCUCCUUUCCGAUAAAUCUCAGCCACCAUUGCCAUCUGCUCAGCGUCCAGCCUUGGGUUUUCCAGCCAGAGAUCUCUGUUUAGCAGCGUCCAGUAAAUCACAGCAGGACAGUGCUAAAAAGGGAAACAUGGAAGGGAUUGAAGCAUUUCUUCCGUUAUCAUUCAAAAAAAAAAGAAAAAAAAAAAAUCCCUGAGACAAAUGUAGACAAUAAUUGUGCAGAAAAUAAAGCUGACCGGAAAAAUGGAAUUUCCGCUCUGGCAAAGGGAGGGCUCUGCAGGGAUGGGCUCAGUGCCAGGGCUGACAGAAACACGGGGCACCUGGAGUGAGCCCUGCAGCCACUGCCCCAUUCAUACGGCCAUUCAACUGCAAAACGUGAUGUGACAAUUUGCGUGGAUUUUCCCAGAAGGAAAAUAGGCAUUAACCUUAGUUAUUGGUUUUCAGCAGUGCCUAAGCUGUGCAAUUUUCUGCUCAUCAAUCCAUCCGAGGAAACUGAGUAAUUUAUGUGCACAAACAACUACAGCCAAUGUAUUCCGGGUGCAUUGGCAGGAAUUUACUUCCUUUCUUUUCAAGAAUUUUAAAUUUCAACCUGUAGCUUAUCCAUGGGAAGAGAUCCCUCAGGUCAUCCUACACAGGGGGGAAGCUGAAGGGUGAAUUAAUACAACCUCCAAAUCAAUGUCUUACAAGAAAAUAAUAUGCCUUCCACUUUCGAAAUGUUUACAUUGUUAAUUAAUUUUAGCACCUGGGCUAAAGACUUCGUGUCAGCUGGAUUCUUCCUAUGACAUCCUAUGUUUUAUAAUACAAUAUGAAUCAAUUGGUGGGGAGGAAGGUUUUCAAGCAAAACACUACAUUUCUGAGCUUCUUUUUCAGAAGGCCUCAAAGCACCAGGAGGGCAAUGCAGCCCUCACUGCCCAUGAGAGCCGACAAGUGCUGAUGACUUGAAGGCUGUGACAAUACAGUCCUGUCUGACAUUAAUCUGGGGCUGGGAGUGAGAGCUGUUCCUGCCUCCUCAUGACCUCCAUUAUUCACCGUCUGAGUGACUGCAGUGCUGACAAUCCAUGCUCAUCCACACCAGCCCACGCCAGGCAGUCAGCAGGAAGGUGCAAAGACAGAUUUAACAAGGCAGUUCCUUGCUAAUCAUCAUGUGCAUUAAAGAAGAUGGGGCAGAAUGAAGAAUGAAAAUCCUAAGGGAAUCCUAAACAGAGAGACAUAAAUAGGAGUUUAAAGGGUGAAUUGCAUCAUUUGCCCUGCUUACAGGUAUCUACUCAGGCAGCAAAAUGUUAUUGCCUGCUGAACCCAGCUUCUGCUUAAUUCUGCCAACUGGCAAAAUGUUUAUUAUCCCACGUUUAAUAGGUGUCACUGCAGACCCGGACUGCUAAAUGGGUGCCUUCUUCUGGAUUGGACUCAGAGUAAGCACGGACCAAGGUACAAAAAUAAUUAAAACAAGUUGCUAUUGAAUAGGAUUUGCAAGUGAGGAUUCUUGCAAGCAGAAGGCUGAGGCUGAAAAGUGAAAGCUGCAGAGGCUUUCUGACUUUUUAAGAGAAAAACACUGCCUCAUCUUUUCUCCUGAUACACACUGGUACUCUCUCUGCUCCUCUGCACCUGCAGAAAUGGAUGGAUGCUCCAAGUCUGUUCUGUUUCUGUUGGAAGAACUGUGCUAGACAGCUCAGGAGUCUGCAGGUGCCAGCCAGAGCAUGUUUUGCCAAGCAAAGGAGACUGCUUUGUGCCUCUGAAGGAAGGCUCAGGGGCAGGUUUUGCACUGGAGAACUUAUCUACAACAUAGAGUUCUUCCUACGUAAGACAGACAAACCAUAAGCCAUGCAUCAAAUACUGGUUCAGGGGAGCUCAACGAGUCCUCUCAGAUGAAUACAAAAUUCACCUAAAAAUGGAUUUCCAGAAGAACUGACAAGUUGGUUGGUGUGACACAUGGACUUUUUGCAGGUGGGUAAGGGGCAAGAAAGGACAAUGAGAAAGGACACGGCCAAUUCUUAUGUCAGUGUUCUCAAACUGCAACCUUUCUGUUUUGUUUCUUUGCCUCCUAAAUGGCAUUUUUACCUCAUUAAAAUUAAAGUAGAUUUUAAUAUUAAAACAGCUGUUAAAUAAUGUGAAAACAGAAUAAGUUCACCCAGAUUAAAAAUGUAUAUAUGUAUCCUUUUUUUUUUUUUUCUUUGCUCCAUUUCUCCAGAUUCUUCCAGGUCAACUCUAACAAAAUCUUUCCCCUACCUCUGGUCUGUCCAUUACUAGGCCAUGAUUUAUUUAGCUCUAAGCCUAUGCUUAAAGGUGCGUCUGAAGCUUUUUCCAACUGCUGAUAUCACAGCGCUGACACUAUGCUGUGACUCUCCUCUGUGACCCUCGUGCUUUCAAAUGUCCCCUGCCUCAGACUUCUAAAGAAUAAAGAAAUAGCUGUGGUUAGUUUGCUAGGUCAAAAGCAGCCCAGCUGAAAACAGACACUUACGUUCCCCCCUAGCUAUGCCUGCAUCUGAAAUCAGGGGAUUUUCUUUUCAAGUUUCGUCAGCUUUCCAACUCUUUCAAGAAAGAGAUCGAAAGGGGAAAGAAAGGAGAGAGGACUGUAAACCUUAAUGUGCAUACAGCUGUGACAGGGAGCAAAUGCAGGGAAAAUUCUCACUGCAGUUGGCGUGUCCUCCUGCAGCCCAGGCUGAAGCAACCCCUGUGGCUGCUGUGCUGUUGGCGGGUGUUCAGUGCAUCGCAGCUGAAGAUGCUCAUGUGAACCCAUGGGAAUCUGUUCUGCCAAGUUCCUCGUAGCUCUGCUCGGUUCGGUCUCAUUUUUAUUUAAUGCUCUUCUCUCCCCUACUGUGGUUUGGUGCGGCUCAUUUCUGCAGCUUCCAUGAAGAUGCAAGGGUGAGAAGUAUUGCGGAGUUAAGAGAAGAGAAAGUCUCUCCAUCUCUCUGUCGUCCUGCUCAGACCCGAGAUUUAGACAAGGAAGAAUGGAAGAUUCGCUCGAAGGCGGCCUGAGAGUCUGCUGAGAAAGGAUGAGCCACAGCAGAGGAGCACCAAACAAGCAAACAGCAACAAAAUGCAUCUCGGCAAGGAGGAGAUUCAAGAAGGAAACAACAACCCAAGAGCAAGGAGGUUGUGAAUCAGCCAAACCUCUGGGAGACAUCAUGCACAGAGGAGGAGACACCAAGACUCCAUGCUCAGGAAAACUGAUAUACUUCUGUUAGUAGUCUUGGGUCUCAUUUGCAUUACCAUGCAUUACCAGUACUUAGAGAUAUGUUUAACUUUAAGGACAUGGGUGAUUGUGGUCUGAAAGCAGCAAUGUGGUUUUAUCUGCUUAUGUGCUCUAUAUUCUCAAAGGGAAACUGUUCCCACUUUUCAGAAACAAAACCUAAGAAUGUGACUGGGAAAAUGAGCCUGGGACAGAAAAAUCAGACCAACAGUCUAAAAGAUAUAAAAUAAAAUAAAAUAAAAUAAAAUAAAAUAAAAUAAAAUAAAAUAAAAUAAAAUAAAAUAAAAUAUGUCACAGCCUAUUGUAAAAAAAAAUCAUUUCUAACUAAGAAAAAGUGACUUGCAGGACUAAUUUGAGAAUAUAUUUGUCAUAAGCCAGCUAAGAUGAGCCAAGCUUUUUAAAUCAGUCCAUCCCUGCCUCCUUUGGCUGGUAGCAAGGAGAAAGAAACUUGGUGUGCAGCUGGAAGACUGAUGCCAAGCUAAUCGAAUGUGCGUGCAGAGGGAGCAGCAGAUGACAAGGACAGGAUUGGCAGGAUGUCGCCAGAUUGUUUGAUUAGCAAUGGGAUGGCUCAAGUGCUCCCUGUCCUACCAGGAACUUGGCACAGAUGCUGACACGUGACUCAGUCCCCAAGCAGUUGUUCUCUGCAGCACUGUUUGAAAAAGGGCUCUGCUUCUCCAAAAACAGGAAGGGUAUUAACAAAAACAAAAACAAGGAUGAGAAAGAAAGGCUAUGAGACUGUGUCUAUAAAUGUUAGAUUCUGGCUAUUCUUUCUGUUAAUACCACCCAAACUUCAGCUGAAAUGAAAUAUUUGACUUGGGAUAAAAAUCAGAUAGUCUGAAAUUUAACCCAGCAAAAGUAAUAUGAGGGAGCAUUGAUGAGUGGGUAUUUUCCUUCCCCUACAGUUUCGCCAUCCAUGUUAUUGCUUUCUUUCUGUGUGUCAGUUUAGACCAACCUGCCACAAAAAAAAAUAUUAUUUUUUUCCUAGGAGACAAAUAUGGUGAGAAAGGCAGCAACACUAUCUUCUAACACCAAAGUUGCAAAUCUAUUCUGGUGAAGCUAAGUGAAAAAUGAAGCAAACUGAUUUCAGAGACAUAUACGUAGGCCUAUGGAGAAAGCCCCAAGCAUAAAAACUAGCUCUCAGCACGAAACAUGGGUAGCAAUUGCCUUUGAUUACUAACAGCAGGUUUUUCAGUCUAUGGACAAAUGUGUAGAUUAUGAGCAAUUUUCUGAGGCAUCUAAAUCAGCAUAUUCAGAUAGAAACAAAUUUUUGAUGCUAUGGCAUCACUGCUACAGUCCAAAUUACAUUGCGCAGAUGUACAUGUAAAUAUCUUACUUGCACUAAAGGCAGCUCAGAAAAAUCAGGGAAUCUGACAUCUCCCCUGAGAUUUUUAAGAUAGUUCAAAUGAUAAAAUAAGUAAGUUCCUCAGAAACAAGAUGGGUGUUGGUGACAGUUUGUACAUUCAGCACAACAAAUAAUCAGCUGCUAUGAAUUUGGAUAACCCUGUUAAAGCCAACAGAACAGAAACAGUUUUUAUCAAGUUACAGCUAGUCCAGAGCAUAUACAUGAGACUUGUACAUAACAAUACUGCAGAUAUAUGGAGAAACUGUAAUGCAGACAGCAGCUUUAUAGUGGGCUUUCAUAUGCCUAUAUACUUCUAAACUGUAUGUGUAACUACAUUCUUGUCAGUUCUUCAGCCUUUUCAGAUGGAUAUGUUACUUCUCUCUAACGUGUCAGUUUUCUGACUAACCUGUCAUAACAAUCUAUGACACCACUCUCUAACAGCUUACCACUGCUUUACAUGAAAUGUGAGGGUUUGUCUGCAGUCACACAUAGGAAUCAUAUUCCAAAAUAAGAGUGUGGGGGAGACGUCUGUAAGUAUAGAUGUAAGCGCAUACGUAUGUAUACGUAGACAGACACACAGAUCCAAAAUAUCUGCCUGUGAAUCAUUGGAAUUACAAUCACAGAGAAUGAAGCAGCACAAGAUGGGAUAUUUCUCCUGAGCUGCACACUGUUUCUCAGCUUUGUGGAAAACUCCUUUUAUGCUGUGACCACAAAUGAUGCACCAUCAGUGGAGUGAUACCGUGUUGCUGAGAAAUGAACUGCUUGUUUGAAUGGACUUUGCAUUCGUUAUAGAAAAGGAACAACUCCAGUUUUAGAUAGAUUCAUUUAUUUACUUUGCGCUGUUUCCAUGACUCAUAAUCCUUUUAAUAAAUCAAACUAAAGAACAUAACAUCAAAUCAGAGAAUCAUAGAAUCUUUAGAGUUGGAAGGAAUGCUUACAGGCCAAGGAGGUGCAAGGAGGUACAGGUUCUUGAUUUGAGUCCCUCUGGAACACUUGAAAACAUAAAACAUAAAAAUUGUUCAAAAUAUCAUCUUUCCAAAUUAAUAUGUGUUCUUGUUCUGUAUUGUGCACACCGACAUGACAUGAUUCCUGGAAUUUCCUGCUGAUAGAACAUUUUUCCAAAGAUGAGAAGAGAUCCAAAACUUUACAUUAGCAUAGUUCAAAUUCACAAGUCCAUGGCCUCAGCCUACAGACAAUGAUGCCCCAGUCUCACUUGCAGCUAUUUCCAUUAGACGAGUGUGGCUGAUGGGUCAGAAUGGAAAAACUCAUGGGAAAAAAGACAACUUAAAAUCCAAAAGAUAAUGUUGGAGGUUUUAUCUGUGCUUCUGACAAUACACGGCUGUUAACUCUACUAAUCUGGGCUUUCUCUAAGGGCUGGCAGGGAAUUCAACAUAACCAAAUCUACUCUCUCUGAGGUGCGGGAACUUUCUGGAGCUUAUAAUGAAAGUCUGGAUGCUCAUGGAAAUCAAAGCUGCAUGCUCCUGCCCACAGAAGAGACAGGCAGCAUUGCCACUGCCCUGUGGCCCCAGAAAUAGAAUGGAAAUCUUUGAGGGACCUAAGAGAGAGGACUACAGCGAACACACAAUCUGUGUUUCCUGUAAACUUCUUCAUUUUCCCUCCAUCCUACUUUCAAAUGAAAACAGUCCCUACUGUUCUGAUGUAGGGGAGAAGUCUUUCCUGAUACAUAGCUUAACCUUAAAUGCUUAAAAGAGAAGGCAAACAGGUCCCAGAAAGGCUUAUCUGCAUCACAGAGGACACUAGUACCUCCUACCCCUCUCUUUCCAGUUGAAACUUAUCUUGGAUGUUUCAGAAAAAAAAGAUGAAGAGAAAGAGAAAAACAGCCAAGCAUUGUGUAAGGAGGUGUGAAACAUGUUUCUGGCCUUUACUUUCAUUCUGUGCUACCAUCUCAAAAUCUUUUCCUUGUUUCUGGGCAUCCUGUGUGACCCUUGUAAUUACAGUGAAUGUCUCUCAGGCAACAUUAACCCCUGCCCUGAUCCAUCUCUAACAAUGAUUGCAUUAAAAACUUCACUGUGUCUGCAGCUAUUUAAUCAUUCAUCACCUGGAAAGUGGUACUGCUCUACUGCUCUGUGACUGUGGCCAUUAGUGGUGACAAGCAAGGUCUUCCUGAAAUUAAGAAUAUGACAGUAUGAGCUGGCUUAGAUUCGGCCUUUUACAGAUACAUCCAAUAAUGAAAACUCCUUCACAUCGGUACUGUCCAAAGCCCGCUGACGUCAGUGGAGAGAUCUGAUCUCAGUGGGCUUUAAAUCAGACUCUAUAGCUAAGGCUUCCAAAGCAGCUGGGGGGAUUCAGGCACGUAUCUUUCAUUAAAGUGAGGGUAUAUUAAAGCAAAUGGAAGAUAUGUGUCUGAAAUCCCCUAGACUGCUUUGAAAAUCUAAAAUACUGUGCAAGCUGUACAGCUUUCUCUAUAAAAAUAGCUGCCAAAUCUAGCUUUGGUAAAGGCAAUAGAACUGCAUUAAAAGAUCCGCAGAAAGGCCUGGUCCCUCUGAUCCUUUAGGAAAACAGAGAGAAGGAUGGCCAGAGUGCUUUAUUUUCAGCUUUAAACCGUUCCCACGUCAAAGACAUUUGCUCGAGCAAUUUAUGGGAAUGGCAUAGUAGCCAAAAGAAAAGUAAUGCUACUCUUGUCUACGUAGAUGUCACACUUAUAUGGCUCAUCAAGCUGGGAUCAGGACUGCAACAUCUCUCGUGGACAUUAAGGAAUAUUUGAUGUGGGUUUCUCCAUGAGCCUAUGUGCAAGACUGAUCUGGUUGCAAAUUCAUGUUGAUAAGGCUGAGCCCAAGACAGCACCACCAUCAUUCCAGCAGCUCCUCUCAGGAGAAGUCUUGGUACAGACCCUUCUCCUCCUGUCCAGCUUUCAUGGGGACACAGCACUGUACCUCAGCCCCACGUAAGAACUCCCUCUGUUUUCUGAGAAGCAGUGAGACAAGCCUUCUUUCCUAUAGCCCACAAUGACAAUCUACUUAUUAUUCAGACACAGCCUCGCCUAAUUACCUUGUUAUUUUGUGGCAGGCUAGAACAAGGUAGCACCAUUAAGUCAAGUGUCUUCAUUUUAGCCAUCCACUGCCUUCAUUCUUGAUUUAGAAGGCAGUGGCACAAGAGUGGUCUCAGUCACACACAUCCCAUACAGCUCAGGUUGUCGUGCCACUAGCUUACCUUGGUUGUGUAUCUGCUUAUAGACUUUUUUCUUUAUUUCUUGCAUUUUUGGACUACCAAGAACAAGUUACAUUCUGUUAGAGUGACAAAGAGUAAUUGCAUUUUAUGUGUUAUUUCUUGAUGGUAGAGGUACUUCAAACCUCAGAUUGAUUUCAGAUUUCAAAUAUCAGAAAGUUUGAUGCAGUCAGCUCAGGGUGUCCAAUUCUGACCUGUCUCCUGCAAACACAAUCAAAACCUUAUAAGACUCAGAGCUCAGACAAAUGAUAAGCCAAGUCCAGGGAUCUGCCCAUAGUUCAUAUUUUUAGUGCAGGAAGAAUUGACUCAAAGGGAAAAUUGAUGUACAAGAAGAUGUGAUAAAGCUGACGUCCAGAUAGCAUUUGCUCUGCUGAAAUGUUACAACCUGAGCAAGACAAUCUGUGAAAGAGGUAAUUGAGCAUUUGAAAAGCACCUGUUAAUGACGGGUAAGAUAACAACCCCGAGGAACCACCUGUCAGGGCAGGUGAUGAACUCUCCCUCUGAUCUGUUUCUUACUACAGUUUUCUCCAGGGAAACUGGUAGCACAUUCACAUGUCUUUCUAGAGAAAGUUCAUAAUAACAGAGGAUUUAAAUAAACAGAAGAUUGAUUUUAAUGGAAGGUGAAUCAUUUGUGUUUCUUUUUUCUUUUCUCGUGCAGCUGAAAUGUUUUAUCUAGCUUAGAUUAUGAGGAAUGUAAAUAAAUUUAUGUUGAAUGUUAAAUAAACAUUUGCUUUCUUUUUUCCAA
Gallus gallus (chicken) is the source of this 15048-nucleotide long non-coding RNA. RefSeq lists it as uncharacterized. The record is from RefSeq and is a predicted model, not a curated record. The transcript has 14 exons. Lineage: Eukaryota; Metazoa; Chordata; Aves; Galliformes; Phasianidae.